GAUGAACGCUGGCGGCGUGCCUAAUACAUGCAAGUCGAGCGAACGGACGAGAAGUUUGCUUUUCUGAUGUUAGCGGCGGACGGGUGAGUAACACGUGGAUAACCUACCUAUAAGACUGGGAUAACUUCGGGAAACCGGAGCUAAUACCGGAUAAUAUUUUGAACCGCAGGGUUCAAAAGUGAAAGACGGUCUUGCUGUCACUUAUAGAUGGAUCCGCGCUGCAUUAGCUAGUUGGUAAGGUAACGGCUUACCAAGGCAACGAUGCAUAGCCGACCUGAGAGGGUGAUCAGCCACACUGGAACUGAGACACGGUCCAGACUCCUACGGGAGGCAGCAGUAGGGAAUCUUCCACAAUGGGCGAAAGCCUGACGGAGCAACGCCGCGUGAGUGAUGAAGGUCUUCGGAUUGUAAAACUCUGUUAUUAGGGAAGAACAUAUGUGUAAGUAACUGUGCACAUCUUGACGGUACCUAAUCAGAAAGCCACGGCUAACUACGUG
RNAcentral lists this ribosomal RNA (497 nucleotides) under uncultured bacterium. RNAcentral's name for it is "partial 16S ribosomal RNA". It matches the Rfam family "Bacterial small subunit ribosomal RNA", at positions 28 to 507 of the family's 1533-position model. The record is from RNAcentral.